Molecule: RNA transcript, 1012 nt
Organism: Ipomoea nil (Japanese morning glory)
Lineage: Eukaryota; Viridiplantae; Streptophyta; Magnoliopsida; Solanales; Convolvulaceae
Exons: 2
Source: RefSeq, a predicted model, not a curated record
GCCAAAACCCAUCAUCUUCACCUAGUCUUUCCUCCAUAGCCAAACAACACUCAAAGCUCUUCAAAAAUGGCGAAUCCUUUUUCUAUCUACUGAACCAAACCUGAAAGACUUAAUCUUUUCCGUCAGAUCAUUGACGUCGAUUCCCCCCUCUCACCGACGAUCGAAAAUAGGGUCCUAACAACCAUUGAGCAAAACCUCAAGCUAGUCGAAGAUCUAACCACCAAGGAAACUCGACAAAUCCGUGCUUUGGCUGGUAAAGUGACAGCUAAACUUUGGCCUUUGAUUCCUAAAGCCGGAGAGAAGGAUGUUGAUGAAGCCGAAGUUCUUGCAUCUCUCUACAUGGCAAAACAACAAUCUCAGGCAUUGGUAUCCUAUUUCUCUGAAUCUUUAGGGGGCACUUCCUCCGUACCCGCGUCUAGGAAGUUAAAUUUCUCUGUUCAUAUGCCUGCUCAAUUUGGUUUCUCCUGGUGGUUCUAAUUCGUCUACUCUUCCAGCUACGUCUACCAGAAUUCCUGAAGAGCCUCCAACUCUCAUUGCUCAUACGCAACUUGCUGAUACAGUUCAGUCCUCUCUAGAUCAAAUGCAUAGGUCUAUUGCUACUCAACAAGAAUCUAUUGCUAGUCUUCAAAAGAUUCUCCUUCAUUAUCGUAGCGAGAUUGCCCCCGGUUUGAGAUCGUGGCAAACCGUACCAAUCAUGUCUCUGACUCAGAUGUUGUUGCGUCUGAUCCUGCUGAAGCUUCUGAAGAUUCUGAUCCUGAUGAAGAUUCCAUUGCGUCUAAUGAUGCAACCAGCUCCUCUUGCACUCCGUCAGCCCACUGAUGUUCAACAUUGUCAAUUUUUUGGCAAAAAGGGGAGAAUAAAUUAAGGGGGAGCUUCGGUUUUUUGUGGUAAUAAUUUCUGUUUCGUAGUACUCUUUGCUUGGGUUGCCUUGGUUUGAAUUUUUUAUUUUUUUUUUGGAUAUUAUCUUGGUCUAUAGUAUGGUCUAUUGUAUAUUAUCGCAUAUGUUUGGAUG